Molecule: ribosomal RNA, 836 nt
Filed under: uncultured archaeon
Lineage: Archaea
Description: bacterial SSU rRNA
Rfam family: Archaeal small subunit ribosomal RNA
Source: RNAcentral
GCGAGUCGAAUGUAGCAAUACAUGGCGUACUGCUCAGUAACACGUGGACAACCUACCCUCAGGACAGGUAUAAACCCGGGAAACUGGGUAUAAUCCCUGAUAGUCCUCGGCUGCUGGAAUGCAUCGAGGACGAAAGCUCCGGCGCCUGAGGAUGGGUCUGCGGCCUAUCAGGUAGUAGUGGGUGUAACGUACCUACUAGCCUACGACGGGUACGGGUUGUGAGAGCAAGAGCCCGGAGAUGGAUUCUGAGACACGAAUCCAGGCCCUACGGGGUGCAGCAGGCGCGAAAACUUUACAAUGCCGGCAACGGCGAUAAGGGGACCUCGAGUGCCAGGUUACAAAUCUGGCUGUCGCGAUGCCUAAAAAGCAUUGCAUAGCAAGGGCCGGGCAAGACCGGUGCCAGCCGCCGCGGUAACACCGGCGGCUCGAGUGGUAACCGUUAUUAUUGGGUCUAAAGGGUCUGUAGCCGGCCGGAUAAGUCUCCUGGGAAAUCCAGCAGCUUAACUGUUGGGCUUUCAGGAGAUACUGUUCGGCUCGAGGCCGGGAGAGGUGAGAGGUACUUCAGGGGUAGGGGUGAAAUCUUGUAAUCCUUGAAGGACCACCAGUGGCGAAGGCGUCUCACCAGAACGGACCUGACGGCAAGGGACGAAAGCUAGGGGCACGAACCGGAUUAGAUACCCGGGUAGUCCUAGCCGUAAACGAUACUCGCUAGGUGUCGGCCACGGUGCGACCGUUGUCGGUGCCGUAGGGAAGCCGUGAAGCGAGCCACCUGGGAAGUACGGCCGCAAGGCUGAAACUUAAAGGAAUUGGCGGGGGAGCACCACAACGGGUGGAGC